AGUGAACGCUGGCGGUAGGCCUAACACAUGCAAGUCGAACGGCAGCACAGUAAGAGCUUGCUCUUACGGGUGGCGAGUGGCGGACGGGUGAGGAAUACAUCGGAAUCUACUUUUUCGUGGGGGAUAACGUAGGGAAACUUACGCUAAUACCGCAUACGACCUGCGGGUGAAAGCAGGGGAUCUUCGGACCUUGCGCGAUUGAACGAGCCGAUGUCGGAUUAGCUAGUUGGCGGGGUAAAGGACCACCAAGGCGACGAUCCGUAGCUGGUCUGAGAGGAUGAUCAGCGACACUGGAACUGGGACACGGUCCAGACUCCUACGGGAGGCAGCAGUGGGGAAUAUUGGACAUGGGGCGCAAGCCUGAUCCAGCCAUACCGCGCGGGUGAAGAAGGCCGUCGGGUUGUAAAGCCCUUUUGUUGGGAAAGAAAAGCAGCAGGUUAAUACCCCGCUGUUCUGACGGUACCCAAAGAAUAAGCACCGGCUAACUUCGUG
RNAcentral lists this ribosomal RNA (492 nucleotides) under uncultured bacterium. RNAcentral's name for it is "partial 16S ribosomal RNA". It matches the Rfam family "Bacterial small subunit ribosomal RNA", at positions 29 to 507 of the family's 1533-position model. The record is from RNAcentral.